Molecule: ribosomal RNA, 492 nt
Filed under: uncultured bacterium
Lineage: Bacteria
Description: partial 16S ribosomal RNA
Rfam family: Bacterial small subunit ribosomal RNA
Source: RNAcentral
AGUGAACGCUGGCGGUAGGCCUAACACAUGCAAGUCGAACGGCAGCACAGUAAGAGCUUGCUCUUACGGGUGGCGAGUGGCGGACGGGUGAGGAAUACAUCGGAAUCUACUUUUUCGUGGGGGAUAACGUAGGGAAACUUACGCUAAUACUGCAUACGACCUACGGGUGAAAGCAGGGGAUCUUCGGACCUUGCGCGAUUGAAUGAGCCGAUGUCGGAUUAGCUAGUUGGCGGGGUAAAGGCCCACCAAGGCGACGAUCCGUAGCUGGUCUGAGAGGAUGAUCAGCCACACUGGAACUGAGACACGGUCCAGACUCCUACGGGAGGCAGCAGUGGGGAAUAUUGGACAAUGGGCGCAAGCCUGAUCCAGCCAUACCGCGUGGGUGAAGAAGGCCUUCGGGUUGUAAAGCCCUUUUGUUGGGAAAGAAAAGCAGCAGGUUAAUACCCCACUGUUCUGACGGUACCCAAAGAAUAAGCACCGGCUAACUUCGUG